UCGAACCGCUAGGGGAGUUUCGGCUGAGAGCCCGUCUGUGAUGCCGUUCGGACCGCGCCCGGAUAACAGGGAAUAACGCGGCACGGAGCGGCAGGGCGACCCUUCGAACCUGAUCCGGGUAAUACCGGCGUAGGGAAGCGAUAGAACAUGGAU
RNAcentral lists this non-coding RNA (153 nucleotides) under Geobacter sulfurreducens. RNAcentral describes it as "TPP sequence". It matches the Rfam family "TPP riboswitch aptamer (THI element)". From Rfam's summary of the family: Vitamin B(1) in its active form thiamin pyrophosphate (TPP) is an essential coenzyme that is synthesised by coupling of pyrimidine and thiazole moieties in bacteria. The previously detected thiamin-regulatory element, thi box was extended, resulting in a new, highly conserved RNA secondary structure, the THI element, which is widely distributed in eubacteria and also occurs in some archaea. The record is from RNAcentral. Lineage: Bacteria; Pseudomonadati; Thermodesulfobacteriota; Desulfuromonadia; Geobacterales; Geobacteraceae. RNAcentral also lists the same sequence under 1 other name.